GAUAAAUCUCCCUCAUUGUUUGUAAUCUUGGCUCUGAAUUUACUGAUGAAGUUUAGAAUAAAUAUAAGUAUUUAAUGCUAAAUAAAUGCUUGGCGGCAACCUACAAGAUCAAAUGAAUGUAUUGAAAGGAUACCAGAAACUAAUAAGUGAGACAAAAAUGUAUGAGUCACACUAAGACAAGCACACCUUUAACCAUUUGACUCCUGAGGGUAAUGUUCUUUAAGGUUAAAUAGCUUUUUUCCCCUCCCAUUUUCUUUGUCGGGACUGGUUUCCAAGUCUCACUUUGUGAAAGAUAGAAUUGCUUUGCGGUCACUAAUUGAAAGCGUGGUACCCAGCUGUUUCAUGAAAAUAUCACUUAUCCCUACUUAUGAGACAUGCAAGACGUGCCUGAGGGAAAUAUGUCUGCUCCAAUGAAUAUAUAUCCGAUUCUCCCUGCUGCAUGGCGCGGUGGAUCAGCAUGCACUGCUGAUGCAAGGCAAUGCUCCAUGUAUUGUCUCUCGGGGCACUGGAGUUACCCAAGCGGCUGUAUGCUGCCCUUACCACUUUGAAAAAAGUUGGACUCACUUCUAGGACUUGCUCCAAUCUUGAGAACUAUAGCCCCCAAGCCUCAUCCUUUCUGCUUGGAGCAGCUGGAGAUUUUCAGGAAGCAGAAAACAACAUAACAGAAGAUAAUAGGAGUUGUGUAAAUGGCACAGUACCCCAAGCUAUACUAGAUAAUAUCCCUGAUAGCCAUUAUAAUAACCCAGUAACCAAAAUCCCUAGGUCUGCUUUCAAAGACCAAAAUAUUGAGCACUAUAUAUUUCAUUAAGGCAGUAUAUCUGAUUGAUAAACUAUGGAGUAGAUACUAUGGGGAUCAGAUUGCUCUUUUCAUUUUUAAAAAGGCCUCUGAAAAAUUAAAUAUGCAAUCUUAUUGUUUGCUAUGGGCUUUUCCUCUGCACAGGCUUUGAGAAAUCUCCCCCUAUGCUCCCCUACUAGGGCUUUAUUACUAUUAAACCAUUCCAGAGAUUUACACAGCUUUCAGAUACUGCUAUUGACUAUUGUUAUUCUGUCAGCUGCAUGUAGUGACAUUGGUAAUAACAUGAUCUGUAUCUUGGCAGGACUAAGGCCAUUCAUUCUGGCUGCUGAAUAC
Molecule: long non-coding RNA, 1129 nt
Organism: Hyla sarda
Lineage: Eukaryota; Metazoa; Chordata; Amphibia; Anura; Hylidae
Exons: 3
Source: RefSeq, a predicted model, not a curated record